GACGAACGCUGGCGGCGUGCUUAACACAUGCAAGUCGAACGAUGAAGCCUAGCUUGCUAGGUGGAUUAGUGGCGAACGGGUGAGUAAUACGUGAGUAACCUACCUUUAACUCUGGGAUAAGCCUGGGAAACUGGGUCUAAUACCGGAUACGACCAAUCUCCGCAUGGGGUGUUGGUGGAAAGCGUUAUGUAGUGGUUAUAGAUGGGCUCACGGCCUAUCAGCUUGUUGGUGAGGUAAAGGCUCACCAAGGCGACGACGGGUAGCCGGCCUGAGAGGGUGACCGGCCACACUGGGACUGAGACACGGCCCAGACUCCUACGGGAGGCAGCAGUGGGGAAUAUUGCACAAUGGGCGCAAGCCUGAUGCAGCGACGCCGCGUGAGGGAUGACGGCCUUCGGGUUGUAAACCUCUGUUAGCANGGAAGAAGAGAGAUUGACGGUACCUGCAGAGAAAGCGCCGGCUAACUACGUGCCAGCAGCCGCGGUAAUACGUAGGGCGCGAGCGUUGUCCGGAAUUAUUGGGCGUAAAGAGCUUGUAGGCGGUUUGUCGCGUCUGCUGUGAAAGGCCGGAGCUUUUCUCCGUGUAUUGCAGUGGGUACGGGCCAAACUAGAGUGCAGUAGGGGAGACUGGAAUUCCUGGUGUAGCAGUGGAAUGCGCAGAUAUCAGGAGGAACACCGAUGGCGAAGGCAGGUCUCUGGGCUGUAACUGACGCUGAGAAGCGAAAGCAUGGGGAGCGAACAGGAUUAGGAUACCCUGGUAGUCCAUGCCGUAAACGUUGGGCACUAGGUGUGGGGAACAUUCCACGUUUUCCGCGCCGUAGCUAACGCAUUAAGUGGCCCCGCCUGGGGAGUACGGCCGCAAGGCUAAAACUCAAAGAAAUUGACGGGGGCCCGCACAAGCGGCGGAGCAUGCGGAUUAAUUCGAUGCAACGCGAAGAACCUUACCAAGGCUUGACAUAUACUGGACCGCAUCAGAGAUGGUGUUUCCCUUCGGGGCUGGUAUACAGGUGGUGCAUGGUUGUCGUCAGCUCGUGUCGUGAGAUGUUGGGUUAAGUCCCGCAACGAGCGCAACCCUCGUUCUAUGUUGCCAGCACGUUAUGGUGGGGACUCAUAGGAGACUGCCGGGGUCAACUCGGAGGAAGGUGGGGAUGACGUCAAAUCAUCAUGCCCCUUAUGUCUUGGGCUUCACGCAUGCUACAAUGGCCGGUACAGAGGGUUGCGAUACUGUGAGGUGGAGCUAAUCCCUAAAAGCCGGUCUCAGUUCGGAUUGGGGUCUGCAACUCGACCCCAUGAAGUCGGAGUCGCUAGUAAUCGCAGAUCAGCAACGCUGCGGUGAAUACGUUCCCGGGCCU
RNAcentral lists this ribosomal RNA (1351 nucleotides) under uncultured bacterium. RNAcentral describes it as "bacterial SSU rRNA". It matches the Rfam family "Bacterial small subunit ribosomal RNA", at positions 28 to 1381 of the family's 1533-position model. The record is from RNAcentral.